AUUGAACGCUGGCGGCAUGCCUUACACAUGCAAGUCGAACGGUAACGCGGGGCAACCUGGCGACGAGUGGCGAACGGGUGAGUAAUGCAUCGGAACGUGCCCGGUAGUGGGGGAUAACUGCUCGAAAGAGCAGCUAAUACCGCAUACGGCCUGAGGGUGAAAGGGGGGGAUCGCAAGACCUCUCGCUAUCGGAGCGGCCGAUGUCGGAUUAGCUAGUUGGUGGGGUAAAGGCCCACCAAGGCAACGAUCCGUAGCUGGUCUGAGAGGACGACCAGCCACACGGGGACUGAGACACGGCCCAGACUCCUACGGGAGGCAGCAGUGGGGAAUUUUGGACAAUGGACGCAAGUCUGAUCCAGCCAUGCCGCGUGCGGGAAGAAGGCCUUCGGGUUGUAAACCGCUUUUGUCAGGGAAGAAAUCUUCUGGGUUAAUACCUCGGGAGGAUGACGGUACCUGAAGAAUAAGCACCGGCUACUACGUGCCAGCCGCCGCAGUAA
This 497-nucleotide ribosomal RNA is filed under the name uncultured bacterium. RNAcentral describes it as "partial 16S ribosomal RNA". It matches the Rfam family "Bacterial small subunit ribosomal RNA", at positions 29 to 523 of the family's 1533-position model. The record is from RNAcentral.